CUUCUUUCUUUACGUGAACAUCUGGGCGGCGUUAUGCAAAUGUUCCCACACAGUAACGUAGACGUGGGGGAGUUUAAACGAGGUGUUAUAGGUAGGUGUGGUUGACUCUUAAAUUUUAUUAAGAAUAUCUCUUUGGAUUUGAGACUUUAGUCUUUGCAACUUUACAGAUCUUCUUUAUGCACCAAGAGCUUGUAGCACUCCAAAGUGAAAGGAAAAACUGAUAUCGCAUCAUAUGACCCCUUUAAUUUUUUGACCAUAUCAACAUGCAAAAUAUCAUAUAUAGGCUUUAAGUUUUAAAAUAUUAUACAAGCCAAUUUAUGUCUAUACUUUGUUAAUAUACAUUUUGAUUGCAGAAUUCAGUGUCAGAAUUUAAAUGAUCCUGUUCCUGUUCAAUGAAUCAUUUGUUUGCUGGAGAGGGCAGUAAAUGAUAGGAUCAAUUCUGCUUGUUGACCUGUUGAAAAAAAAAAAUCUCCAAGGAUCAACAGGACUGUCUCGUCCUUUCCCACGCUGAACAUCUGACUGCCCCCCCUCCCCCCCCUUCUGUGAGAGAAGUCUAAAAACCGCGGCAAUGGCCAUCAAAAAACCAACAACUUCCUCUGUCGCCUGCUCACUUCCUGUUUCUGCGUCUGAGGGCCCAACGGUGCAGUGAUGAUUAGCUGGGCCUUUGCGUGACAAUCAAGCAGCCAGACGCUCUUAGUUUCCCCCAUUCAGACCGGAAGCAGCACUAUUGCAACGGUAAACUGUUUCUCACUUCUGCUGUGACAGUCACACACGCUGUCUGAGCAUCUUAUAAAAUGUGUAUUGUUUUGCUUCUUAUUUUUGCAGAAUCAUCUGUGAAAUCUGUCUGCAGCCUUUCAAAAACAGGAAGUGUAACUGAGAUCUGAUAAAGACCCUCUCGAUUUCAUCUAGAUCACAUGGGCAUCAGUCAUCAGGUCGUGUCCCAUGAAGGCAAAUAUUGCUCAUCUGAAAAAAAAAAGAACCAGGAUAUUUCACAAAAUGAUGCCUUUGCAAUCAAGGAUGUCAUGCACCUGCCUCAGGUAACAUCUGGAUCUAAUAAACAAUCACAAUGUUGUUGUGCAGCUUUAUUGUGGGUAACACAUGCAGAAGGACGUCUUUGGCCUUUGGCCACAUUGCAUAUUUUCAGCAUCUUAAAUUGUUUUAGUCAUAAUACUGUCAUUCCAUGCAAACUGCUAUGUCAAGGUACAAACAGGUACAAGCAAACAAAAACACAUUGACAACAAAAAGUGUCUCAGUCUGCUAGUGGAGAGAAAAAGUAGUGCAAUCAGGCACAUCAUUUUAUGUUAAUGUACUGUAUAAAAUAAUUAAUUUAGUUGUUUGUAAUUUGUAAAAGUAACUUUCAC
Cyprinus carpio (common carp) is the source of this 1361-nucleotide long non-coding RNA. Lineage: Eukaryota; Metazoa; Chordata; Actinopteri; Cypriniformes; Cyprinidae. The record is from Ensembl.